UACGGAGGGUGCAAGCGUUAUCCGGAUUUACUGGGUUUAAAGGGUGCGUAGGUGGGCAGGUAAGUCAGUGGUGAAAUCUCCGGGCUUAACCCGGAAACUGCCAUUGAUACUAUCUGUCUUGAAUUAUCUGGAGGUGAGCGGAAUAUGUCAUGUAGCGGUGAAAUGCUUAGAUAUGACAUAGAACACCAAUUGCGAAGGCAGCUCACUACGGAUUGAUUGACACUGAGGCACGAAAGCGUGGGGAUCAAACAGG
RNAcentral lists this ribosomal RNA (253 nucleotides) under uncultured bacterium. RNAcentral describes it as "partial 16S ribosomal RNA". It matches the Rfam family "Bacterial small subunit ribosomal RNA", at positions 524 to 776 of the family's 1533-position model. The record is from RNAcentral.